GGAGAGAUGGCUGAGCGGCUGAAAGCGGCGGUCUCGAAAACCGUUAGUCCGGCACCCCCGGGCUCGGGGGUUCAAAUCCCCCUCUCUCCGCCA
Molecule: transfer RNA, 93 nt
Filed under: Coriobacteriales bacterium
Lineage: Bacteria; Bacillati; Actinomycetota; Coriobacteriia; Coriobacteriales
Description: tRNA-Ser
Rfam family: tRNA
About the family: Transfer RNA (tRNA) molecules are approximately 80 nucleotides in length. Their secondary structure includes four short double-helical elements and three loops (D, anti-codon, and T loops). Further hydrogen bonds mediate the characteristic L-shaped molecular structure. tRNAs have two regions of fundamental functional importance: the anti-codon, which is responsible for specific mRNA codon recognition, and the 3' end, to which the tRNAs corresponding amino acid is attached (by aminoacyl-tRNA synthetases). tRNAs cope with the degeneracy of the genetic code in two manners: having more than one tRNA (with a specific anti-codon) for a particular amino acid; and 'wobble' base-pairing, i.e. permitting non-standard base-pairing at the 3rd anti-codon position.
Source: RNAcentral